Molecule: ribosomal RNA, 136 nt
Filed under: uncultured bacterium
Lineage: Bacteria
Description: partial 16S ribosomal RNA
Rfam family: Bacterial small subunit ribosomal RNA
Source: RNAcentral
CAGGGAAUCUUGGGCAAUGGGCGAAAGCCUGACCCAGCGACGUCGCGUGGAGGAAGAAGGCUCUAGGGCUGUAAACUCCUUUUCCAGGGGAAGAGUAAGGACGGUACCUUGGGAAUAAGCUCCGGCUAACUACGUG